AGCGAAUAGAUACCCCGUAGUCCACGCCGUAAACUAUGGAUGCUAGCUGUUGGCCGUAUCGACCCGGUCAGUAGCGAAAGCUAACGCGUUAAGCAUCCCGCCUGUGGAGUACGGUCGCAAGACUAAACAUAAAGGAAUUGACGGGGACCCGCACAAGCGAUGGAGCGUGUUGUUUUAAUUUCGAUGCUAAGCGAAGAACCUUACCCAGGUUUGACAUCUUCGGAAUUACUACGAAAGUAGUGAGUGCCUUCGGGUAACCGAAUGACAGGUGAUGCAUGGCCGUCGUCAGCUCGUGUCGUGAGAUGUUUGGUUGAGUCCAUCAACGAGCGCAACCCUUAUGAAUAGUUGUAUUUUUCUAUUCAGACUGCCUCGGUAACGGGGUAGGAAGGAGGGGAUGAGGUCAGGUCAGUAUUU
Molecule: ribosomal RNA, 414 nt
Filed under: uncultured bacterium
Lineage: Bacteria
Description: bacterial SSU rRNA
Rfam family: Bacterial small subunit ribosomal RNA
Source: RNAcentral